CACGUAGGGCGCAAGCGUUGUCCGGAAUUAUUGGGCGUAAAGAGCUCAUAGGUGGUUUGUUACGUCUGCUGUGAAAACCUAGGGCUUAACCCUGGGCUUGCAGUGGAUACGGGCAGACUAGAGGUAGGUAGGGGAGAAUGGAAUUCCUGGUGUAGCGGUGAAAUGCGCAGAUAUCAGGAGGAACACCGGUGGCGAAGGCGGUUCUCUGGGCCUUACCUGACACUGAGGAGCGAAAGCGUGGGGAGCGAACAGG
This 253-nucleotide ribosomal RNA is filed under the name uncultured bacterium. RNAcentral's name for it is "partial 16S ribosomal RNA". It matches the Rfam family "Bacterial small subunit ribosomal RNA", at positions 524 to 776 of the family's 1533-position model. The record is from RNAcentral.